This 499-nucleotide ribosomal RNA is filed under the name uncultured bacterium. RNAcentral's name for it is "partial 16S ribosomal RNA". It matches the Rfam family "Bacterial small subunit ribosomal RNA", at positions 28 to 507 of the family's 1533-position model. The record is from RNAcentral.
GACGAACGCUGGCGGCGUGCCUAAUACAUGCAAGUCGAGCGAAGUUUUUCUGGUGCUUGCACUAGAAAAACUUAGCGGCGAACGGGUGAGUAACACGUAAAGAACCUGCCUCAUAUACUGGGACAACUAUUGGAAACGAUAGCUAAUACCGGAUAACAGUAUUUCUCGCAUGAGAGAUAUUUAAAAGUUGGUUAUGCUAACACUAUGAGAUGGCUUUGCGGUUCAUUAGCUAGUUGGUGGGGUAAAGGCCCACCAAGGCGACGAUGCAUAGCCGACCUGAGAGGGUGAUCGGCCACACUGGGACUGAGACACGGCCCAGACUCCUACGGGAGGCAGCAGUAGGGAAUAUUCCGCAAUGGGCGAAAGCCUGACGGAGCAACGCCGCGUGAGUGAAGAAGGAUUUCGGUUCGUAAAGCUCUGUUGUUAGGGAAGAAUGGAUAUGUAGUAACUAUACAUGUAAGAGACGGUACCUAACCAGAAAGCCACGGCUAACUACGUG